CUGCCAGACUCCUACGGGAGGCAGCAGUGGGGAAUAUUGCACAAUGGGGGAAACCCUGAUGCAGCAACGCCGCGUGAGUGAAGAAGUCUUUCGGUAUGUAAAGCUCUAUCAGCAGGGAAGAAGAUGACGGUACCUGAGUAAGAAGCCCCGGCUAACUACGUGCCAGCAGCCGCGGUAAUACGUAGGGGGCAAGCGUUAUCCGGAUUUACUGGGUGUAAAGGGAGCGUAGACGGUGAGACAAGUCUGAAGUGAAAGCCCGGGGCUCAACCCCGGGACUGCUUUGGAAACUGUGCAGCUAGAGUGCAGGAGAGGUAAGUGGAAUUCCUAGUGUAGCGGUGAAAUGCGUAGAUAUUAGGAGGAACACCAGUGGCGAAGGCGGCUUACUGGACUGUAACUGACGUUGAGGCUCGAAAGCGUGGGGAGCAAACAGGAUUAGAUACCCUGGUAC
This 448-nucleotide ribosomal RNA is filed under the name uncultured bacterium. RNAcentral's name for it is "bacterial SSU rRNA". It matches the Rfam family "Bacterial small subunit ribosomal RNA", at positions 328 to 793 of the family's 1533-position model. The record is from RNAcentral.